CAGGAUCUAAAUCCUAGAAUAGUGCAAGCAUUAUUUUCACUCAUCUGCUUUGCAAAGAGUAUGGUAAGUAUCAUAAGGGUGUGUGUAGAGCGGGCAGUAAUGUGUGUUUCGAUGUGGUGAGUCAGGUCACAAGGUCUGAGACUAUCCUAAGCCUGGUCCACAAAGUUAGCAUGGUCGUCCUUCAACUCAGUCCGACCAUCUAAAUCAGUAGGGUGCUAAUUCCAGCACUAUCAGUGGACAACGCCCAAAUAGGAUUUAUCCACUUCAG
RNAcentral lists this long non-coding RNA (268 nucleotides) under Capsicum annuum. Its description in RNAcentral is "long non-coding RNA (CANN_LNC019103)". Lineage: Eukaryota; Viridiplantae; Streptophyta; Magnoliopsida; Solanales; Solanaceae. The record is from RNAcentral.